UGGGCUUUUUGUUUCUCUGUCUCCUCCAU
This 29-nucleotide non-coding RNA is filed under the name Mus musculus (house mouse). The record is from RNAcentral. Lineage: Eukaryota; Metazoa; Chordata; Mammalia; Rodentia; Muridae.